Oreochromis aureus is the source of this 1329-nucleotide long non-coding RNA. The record is from Ensembl. NCBI's taxonomy places the organism in Eukaryota, Metazoa, Chordata, Actinopteri, Cichliformes, Cichlidae.
UUUUCUCUGUGUGCUAAGGGCUGAUUAAUACAUGGCCAUUACACGUAACGUCACAAAGUAACGCAGGCCAGUUAUUACAAUGGAAGCCGCCAGUAACACUGAACUGUUUUACUGUGUUUCAGCACAAUAAAUCUUCAUGUGCACCUGAAUGAACCCUGUCGUCCUUCAGUGUGUAACACUAGGAACCACAAGUAAGCCUGCAGUCUGAGAGCGAUGUCCUCUGAUGGGAUUAUACGUGAAUCGAGGAUAAGCCAGUAGCCGUGGGACCUUUGUUGGUGGGCCGUUUUCUACACUUCUUUUGUCGUACAGCACCUUGAGUUUAUAGUUGGCUUUGUAUGUGUGAUUUUCUUCAGUCAUGGUCCUCAGCUACUGGUAAGUCCAGUUCAUUAUAUGGUGGGUUUAUUGAAUUUAGGACACUACUACAGGAUAGGAUGUGCCACAGUCAACUUUUAUCAACUUUUAUCAACGUGCUCUAUUCUUUAAAAAAAAAAAAAAAAAAUUGUUUUAACAAAUGCAGUUAUCCAUCCAUCCUCAUCCGCUUUAUCCGAAGUCGGGUCGCGGGGGCAGCAGCCUAAGCAGAGAAGCCCAGACCUCCCUCUCCCCAGCCACCUCCUCCAGCUCAUCCGGGGGAACACCAAGGCGUUCCCAGGCCAGCCGAGAGAUAUAAUCUCUCCAGCGCGUCCUGGGUCUGCCCCGGGGCCUCCUCCCGGUGGGACAUUCCAAAUGCAGUUAUUAAAGGUAUAUUUAUACUGGAGCCAAUCUGCCUCAGUAGUGCAUACUCAAACCUGUCUAAUCUUUUCUGGUUGGUUUAAAAAGACUCUUUAUAUUUCCUAGGGGUGACAUUCUCCUAGGUGGUGUUGUCACAUUUUAAUCAUAACCCCUCUGACCACCUACCCACACAAUCAAAACCACUGGUCCAGGAAGUUAAUAUCAUUAAAAUUCUAAUUGUAAAAAAUCUAUUUUAUGCACUUAUCUUCAUUCUGUUCUUACAUCUUUUGUCUUUCAAUCACUGUGUAUUAAAUGUCUUGAAAUUUUAAGCAGGGAACUGAAUUUACUCAAGCAGGGUUUUCUCAGAAUACACUUCAUGCAGAGUUAUUUAAAAUUACAUGACCCUGAAUUAUUUAUAACAGCAGCUGAGCACAGUGUAGUCAGCACAGGUUAAUUUCCUCACCAUUAUUAUCUCUUUUACUCCCAGGUUACACCAGACAUCUGUAAAAUGAAUACCUGAAAUCAUGUCUCCCCUUUGGGCUGCAUUUUCAAUGUUAUCUUUUGAUCCUUUUAAAGCUUACUGCAUUCAUGAACCUGCUGCUAUAAUGUACAAAACACACA